This 2932-nucleotide ribosomal RNA is filed under the name Escherichia coli O113:H21. RNAcentral describes it as "23S ribosomal RNA". It matches the Rfam family "Bacterial large subunit ribosomal RNA". The record is from RNAcentral. Lineage: Bacteria; Pseudomonadati; Pseudomonadota; Gammaproteobacteria; Enterobacterales; Enterobacteriaceae.
GGGUUGUGAGGUUAAGCGACUAAGCGUACACGGUGGAUGCCCUGGCAGUCAGAGGCGAUGAAGGACGUGCUAAUCUGCGAUAAGCGUCGGUAAGGUGAUAUGAACCGUUAUAACCGGCGAUUUCCGAAUGGGGAAACCCAGUGUGAUUCGUCACACUAUCAUUAACUGAAUCCAUAGGUUAAUGAGGCGAACCGGGGGAACUGAAACAUCUAAGUACCCCGAGGAAAAGAAAUCAACCGAGAUUCCCCCAGUAGCGGCGAGCGAACGGGGAGCAGCCCAGAGCCUGAAUCAGUGUGUGUGUUAGUGGAAGCGUCUGGAAAGGCGCGCGAUACAGGGUGACAGCCCCGUACACAAAAAUGCACAUACUGUGAGCUCGAUGAGUAGGGCGGGACACGUGGUAUCCUGUCUGAAUAUGGGGGGACCAUCCUCCAAGGCUAAAUACUCCUGACUGACCGAUAGUGAACCAGUACCGUGAGGGAAAGGCGAAAAGAACCCCGGCGAGGGGAGUGAAAAAGAACCUGAAACCGUGUACGUACAAGCAGUGGGAGCACAGAGCAAUCUGUGUGACUGCGUACCUUUUGUAUAAUGGGUCAGCGACUUAUAUUCUGUAGCAAGGUUAACCGAAUAGGGGAGCCGAAGGGAAACCGAGUCUUAACUGGGCGUUAAGUUGCAGGGUAUAGACCCGAAACCCGGUGAUCUAGCCAUGGGCAGGUUGAAGGUUGGGUAACACUAACUGGAGGACCGAACCGACUAAUGUUGAAAAAUUAGCGGAUGACUUGUGGCUGGGGGUGAAAGGCCAAUCAAACCGGGAGAUAGCUGGUUCUCCCCGAAAGCUAUUUAGGUAGCGCCUCGUGAAUUCAUCUCCGGGGGUAGAGCACUGUUUCGGCAAGGGGGUCAUCCCGACUUACCAACCCGAUGCAAACUGCGAAUACCGGAGAAUGUUAUCACGGGAGACACACGGCGGGUGCUAACGUCCGUCGUGAAGAGGGAAACAACCCAGACCGCCAGCUAAGGUCCCAAAGUCAUGGUUAAGUGGGAAACGAUGUGGGAAGGCCCAGACAGCCAGGAUGUUGGCUUAGAAGCAGCCAUCAUUUAAAGAAAGCGUAAUAGCUCACUGGUCGAGUCGGCCUGCGCGGAAGAUGUAACGGGGCUAAACCAUGCACCGAAGCUGCGGCAGCGACGCUUAUGCGUUGUUGGGUAGGGGAGCGUUCUGUAAGCCUGCGAAGGUGUGCUGUGAGGCAUGCUGGAGGUAUCAGAAGUGCGAAUGCUGACAUAAGUAACGAUAAAGCGGGUGAAAAGCCCGCUCGCCGGAAGACCAAGGGUUCCUGUCCAACGUUAAUCGGGGCAGGGUGAGUCGACCCCUAAGGCGAGGCCGAAAGGCGUAGUCGAUGGGAAACAGGUUAAUAUUCCUGUACUUGGUGUUACUGCGAAGGGGGGACGGAGAAGGCUAUGUUGGCCGGGCGACGGUUGUCCCGGUUUAAGCGUGUAGGCUGGUUUUCCAGGCAAAUCCGGAAAAUCAAGGCUGAGGCGUGAUGACGAGGCACUACGGUGCUGAAGCAACAAAUGCCCUGCUUCCAGGAAAAGCCUCUAAGCAUCAGGUAACAUCAAAUCGUACCCCAAACCGACACAGGUGGUCAGGUAGAGAAUACCAAGGCGCUUGAGAGAACUCGGGUGAAGGAACUAGGCAAAAUGGUGCCGUAACUUCGGGAGAAGGCACGCUGAUAUGUAGGUGAAGUCCCUCGCGGAUGGAGCUGAAAUCAGUCGAAGAUACCAGCUGGCUGCAACUGUUUAUUAAAAACACAGCACUGUGCAAACACGAAAGUGGACGUAUACGGUGUGACGCCUGCCCGGUGCCGGAAGGUUAAUUGAUGGGGUCAGCGCAAGCGAAGCUCUUGAUCGAAGCCCCGGUAAACGGCGGCCGUAACUAUAACGGUCCUAAGGUAGCGAAAUUCCUUGUCGGGUAAGUUCCGACCUGCACGAAUGGCGUAAUGAUGGCCAGGCUGUCUCCACCCGAGACUCAGUGAAAUUGAACUCGCUGUGAAGAUGCAGUGUACCCGCGGCAAGACGGAAAGACCCCGUGAACCUUUACUAUAGCUUGACACUGAACAUUGAGCCUUGAUGUGUAGGAUAGGUGGGAGGCUUGGAAGUGUGGACGCCAGUCUGCAUGGAGCCGACCUUGAAAUACCACCCUUUAAUGUUUGAUGUUCUAACGUUGACCCGUAAUCCGGGUUGCGGACAGUGUCUGGUGGGUAGUUUGACUGGGGCGGUCUCCUCCUAAAGAGUAACGGAGGAGCACGAAGGUUGGCUAAUCCUGGUCGGACAUCAGGAGGUUAGUGCAAUGGCAUAAGCCAGCUUGACUGCGAGCGUGACGGCGCGAGCAGGUGCGAAAGCAGGUCAUAGUGAUCCGGUGGUUCUGAAUGGAAGGGCCAUCGCUCAACGGAUAAAAGGUACUCCGGGGAUAACAGGCUGAUACCGCCCAAGAGUUCAUAUCGACGGCGGUGUUUGGCACCUCGAUGUCGGCUCAUCACAUCCUGGGGCUGAAGUAGGUCCCAAGGGUAUGGCUGUUCGCCAUUUAAAGUGGUACGCGAGCUGGGUUUAGAACGUCGUGAGACAGUUCGGUCCCUAUCUGCCGUGGGCGCUGGAGAACUGAGGGGGGCUGCUCCUAGUACGAGAGGACCGGAGUGGACGCAUCACUGGUGUUCGGGUUGUCAUGCCAAUGGCACUGCCCGGUAGCUAAAUGCGGAAGAGAUAAGUGCUGAAAGCAUCUAAGCACGAAACUUGCCCCGAGAUGAGUUCUCCCUGACUCCUUGAGAGUCCUGAAGGAACGUUGAAGACGACGACGUUGAUAGGCCGGAUGUGUAAGCGCAGCGAUGCGUUGAGCUAACCGGUACUAAUGAACCGUGAGGCUUAACCUUACAACGCCGAAGCUGUU